Molecule: ribosomal RNA, 132 nt
Filed under: Aotus nancymaae (Ma's night monkey)
Lineage: Eukaryota; Metazoa; Chordata; Mammalia; Primates; Aotidae
Source: RNAcentral
GUCUAUGGCCACACCACCCUGAACACGCCCGAUCUCACCUGAUCUUGGAAGCUAAGCAGGGUUGGGCCUGGUUAGUACCUGAAUGGGAGACAUUUACCUCUCUUAACAAGUGAGAAGAUCCUCGCCAGGACU